CCUACGGGAGGCAGCAGUGGGGAAUAUUGCACAAUGGGGGAAACCCUGAUGCAGCAACGCCGUGUGAAGGAAGACGGUUUUCGGAGUGGAAACUUGUAUCUAUAGGGGAGUAAGAAAUGACGGUAGCGAAAUAAGAAGCCUCGGCUAAGUACGUGCCAGCAGCCGCGGUAAUACGGAGGGGGCAAUCGUUAGCCGGAAUUACUGGGUGUAAGGGAAGAGUAGGCGGCAAGGUAAGCGAUCUGUGAAAGCCUUAAGCUUAACUAAAGGAUUGGAUAACGAACUAUCUAGCUAGAGUACAGGGGAGGAAAGCGGAAUUCCUAGUGUAGCGGUGAAAUGCUUAGAUAUUAGGAAGAACACCAGUGGCGAAGGCGGCUUUCUGCAGUGAAACUGACGCUGAGGCUCGAAAGCGUGGGGAGCGAACAUGAUUAGAUACCCGUGUAGUC
RNAcentral lists this ribosomal RNA (443 nucleotides) under uncultured bacterium. Its description in RNAcentral is "partial 16S ribosomal RNA". It matches the Rfam family "Bacterial small subunit ribosomal RNA", at positions 338 to 795 of the family's 1533-position model. The record is from RNAcentral.